CCUACGGGGUGCUGCAGUGGGGAAUAUUGGACAAUGGGCGAAAGCCUGAUCCAGCCAUGCCGCGUGUGUGAAGAAGGCCUUCGGGUUGUAAAGCACUUUCAGUGGGGAAGAAAGCCUUGGGGCUAAUACCCUCGAGGAAGGACAUCACCCACAGAAGAAGCACCGGCUAACUCCGUGCCAGCAGCCGCGGUAAUACGGAGGGUGCGAGCGUUAAUCGGAAUUACUGGGCGUAAAGCGCGCGUAGGCGGUCUGAUAAGCCGGUUGUGAAAGCCCCGGGCUCAACCUGGGAACGGCAUCCGGAACUGUCAGGCUAGAGUGCAGGAGAGGAAGGUAGAAUUCCCGGUGCAGCGGUGAAAUGCGUAGAGAUCGGGAGGAAUACCAGUGGCGAAGGCGGCCUUCUGGACUGACACUGACGCUGAGGUGCGAAAGCGUGGGUAGCAAACAGGAUUAGAUACCCGAGUAGUC
This 465-nucleotide ribosomal RNA is filed under the name Vreelandella stevensii. Its description in RNAcentral is "partial 16S ribosomal RNA". It matches the Rfam family "Bacterial small subunit ribosomal RNA", at positions 338 to 795 of the family's 1533-position model. Lineage: Bacteria; Pseudomonadati; Pseudomonadota; Gammaproteobacteria; Oceanospirillales; Halomonadaceae. The record is from RNAcentral.